AGUGAACGCUGGCGGUAGGCCUAACACAUGCAAGUCGAACGGCAGCACAGGAGAGCUUGCUCUCUGGGUGGCGAGUGGUGGACGGGUGAGGAAUACAUCGGAAUCUACUCUGUCGUGGGGGAUAACGUAGGGAAACUUACGCUAAUACCGCAUACGACCUACGGGUGAAAGCAGGGGACCUUCGGGCCUUGCGCGAUUGAAUGAGCCGAUGUCGGAUUAGCUAGUUGGCGGGGGAGAGGCCCACCAAGGCGACGAUCCGUAGCUGGUCUGCGAGGAUGAUCAGCCACACUGGAACUGAGACACGGUCCAGACGCCUACGGGAGGCAGCAGUGGGGAAUAUUGGACAAUGGGCGCAAGCCUGAUCCAGCCAUACCGCGUGGGUGAAGAAGGCCUUCGGGUUGUAAAGCCCUUUUGUUGGGAAAGAAAUCCAGUUGGCUAAUACCCGGUUGGGAUGACGGUACCCAAAGAAUAAGCACCGGCUAACUUCGUGCCAGCCGCCGCCGUAA
RNAcentral lists this ribosomal RNA (506 nucleotides) under uncultured bacterium. RNAcentral describes it as "partial 16S ribosomal RNA". It matches the Rfam family "Bacterial small subunit ribosomal RNA", at positions 29 to 523 of the family's 1533-position model. The record is from RNAcentral.